AAUCGUGCAGCUGCAGGCUUGCAGCAGGUUGGCGGGCCAAUGGUCAUAAAGAGAAGAUAACAGGUAUGUCGAGUGCUGUGAGUAUUCCAUUCGUUUAGACAACUACGUUUCCAAGAUCAUCAAGAGGUGUGUUGUUUUCCUUGAGAAAAUCAUCAAUUUGUUUAGCAUUGGUCAAAUCUGUUUGUUGAUCUGAGAUUUUGUAUUCUUGCAUCACCAGAUCAUAGUGUGACAGAUGGGAGAACACACACACACACCUCAAUGGAUGACAUAUUAUAAUUACGGAGACUAGUUGUAAGGAUAAUGGAGUGCAAUUUUCUGAUUCAGUGAUCUGCAGGUUUGAAGAACUAAUAUUGUGUAGAAAAUGGCAAUCGAAUUAUUUAGAUUUAAUAAAUUAGAUUUAAGGAUAAAUUAGUUGGUGCAUUUCAUUAUCAAGGACUAAUAGUAUUAAUAUACUAGGAGCAAUAUGUAGCAAACAAUUCAAAAUUUAAGGAAUGAUCCAUCUUACCCCUCAAGAAGAAGGAAUAAUCCAUUUUAAUAUGUUCCUUUAUAUAUACGGAGAACUUCUUAGUAGUUCGUAUGUCAAGAUGUUUGGAUACUAAAUAAUGGUGCUCUUUCUAAUAAUCAGGCAGACUGUACCCAUUGCCAGUUUAUGUGUGUCUGUAAUUUUUUUGUGGUAUAUCGAGCAAUUGUCCUUGAAAAAUUGAAAUAAUUGAGAUAUCCACAUAAAUGAAAGUUGCAGCCUGCAGCGAUAUGGUUCCUAAUUCAUAUAACGUAGAGAGGACGUUAGGAGUGGAAUGGUCAUCACUUAUUGUAGCAGUUUUCUGAAAAAGUAACAUCUUUUCAUGCAGUGACAUUAAUGUGGCCAUUGAGAAUAUGAGAAGUAAUUCUCAGGAAAAGUGUAUCUUUCAUCUUGCAUAAAGACGAGCACGUGACACCACUGCCACCCUGUCUUAGCGUAACGCGAGUCGAGGUGGACGUCGGACGCCGAGACAAGCGCGUGACACCACUGCCACCCUGUCUUAGCGUAACGCGAGUCGAGGCGGACGUCGUCGCGGUAGCGACGACNNNNNNNNNNGUAACGCGAGUCGAGGCGGACGUCGUCGCGGUAGCAACGACGGACGCCGAGACGAGCACGUGACACCAUUCCCAUCCUGUCCUAGCGUAACGCGAGUCGAGGGGGACGUCGUCGCGGUACCGACGACGGACGCCGAGACGAGCACGUGACACCAUUCCCACCCUGUCUUUGCGUAACGCGAGUCGAGGCGGACGUCGUCGCGGUAGCGACGACGGAUGCCGAGACGAGCACGUGACACCACUGCCACCCUGUCUUAGCGUAACGUGAGUCGAGGCGGACGUCAUCGCGGUAGCGACGACGGACGCCGAGACGAGCACGCGACGCCACGGCCACCCUAUCUAUCUUAGGGUUACGCGAGUCGAGGCGGACGUCGUCGCAGUAGCGACGACGUAAAAAUGUUGGUGUUUUAAAAAUUUGGUAGAAAUUUCAGAAAAUGUUGUUCAUUUCAAAAAAUGAUCGUGUUUUAAAAAAUGUUCUUGUUUUCCUAAAAAAAUUCACAAAUUCAAAAGUUGUUCAUUUCUAUAAAUAUGUUCUUGCUUUUUAGAUUUUCUUAUUAAUUUAAAACUUGUUCGUAGUAGAUCAAUUUAAUGUCGAUUCAACCGAAAAGCAUUAGAUCAAUUUACUUCAGUAAGCUAUUUUUUGUUUAACUAAAUUUUAUUUCUGGAUAGUAUUAACCGAAAAGCAUUAGAUCAAUUUACUUCAGUAAGCUAUCUUAGGGUUACGCGAGUCGAGGCGGUCGUCGUCGCGGUAGCGACGACAGACGCCGAGACGAGCACGUGACACCACUGCCACCCUGUCUUAGCGUAACGCGAGUCGAGGCGGACGUCGUCGCGGUAGCAACGACGGACGCCGAGACGAGCACGUGACACCACUGCCACCCUGUCUUAGCGUAACGCGAGUUGAGGCGGACGUCGUCGCAGUAGGGGACAACGGAUGCCGAGACGAGCACGUGACACCAUUCCCACCCUGUCUAUCUUACGGUUACGCGAGUCGAGGCGGACGUCGUCGCGGUAGCGACGUCGGACGCCGAGACGAGCACGUGACACCACUCCCAACCUGUCUUACCGUAACGCGAGUCGAGGCAGACGUCGUCGCGGUAGCGACGACGGACGCCGAGACGAGCANNNNNNNNNNCUGCCACCCUGUCUUAGCGUAUCGCGAGUCGAGGCGGACGUCGUCGCGGUAGCGACGACGGACGCCGAAAUGAGCACGUGACACCACUGCCUCCUUGUCUUAUCAUAACGCGAGUCGAGGCGGACGUCGUCGUGGUAGCGACGACGGACGCCGAGACGAGCACGUGACACCACUGCCUCCCUGUCUUAGCGUAACACGAGUCGAGGCGGACGUCGUAGCGGUAGCGACGAUGGACGCCAAGACGAGCACGUGUUACCACUGCCACCCUGUCUUAGCGUAACGCGAGUCGAGGCGGACAUCGUCGCGGUAGCGACGACGGACGCCGAGACGAGCAUGUGACACCACUGCCUCCUUGUCUUAGCGUAACGCGAGUCGAGGCGGACGUCGUCGCGGUAGCGACGACAGACGCCGAGACGAGCACGUGACACCACUGUCACCCUGUCUUAGCGUAACGCGAGUCGAGGCGGACGACAUCGCGGUAGCCAUGACGGACGCCGAGACGAGCACGUGACACCACUGCCAUCCCGUCUUAGCGUAACGCUAGUCGAGGCGGACGUCGUCGCGGUAGAGAUGACGGACGCCGAGACGAGGACAUGACACCACUGCCACCCUGUUCUAGCGUAACGCGAGUCGAGGCGGACGUCGUCGCGGUAGCGAGGACGGACGCCGAGACGAGCACGUGACACCACUGCCACCCUGUCUUAGCGUAACGCGAGGCAGAAGUCAUCGCCAUAGCAAUGACGGACGCCGAGACGAGCACGUGACAGCACUGCCACCCUGUCUUAGCGUAACGCGAGUGGAGGCGAACGUCGUCGCGGUAGCGAUGACGGACGCCGAGACGAGCACAUGACACCACUGCCACCCUAUCUUAGCAUAACGCGAGUCGAGGCGGACAUCGUCGCGGUAGCGAUGACGGACGCCGAGACGAGCACGUGACACCACUGCCACUCUGUCUUAGCGUAACUCGAGUCGAGGCGGACGUCGUCGCGGUAGCGACGACGGANNNNNNNNNNUAGAUCAAUUCAAUGAACAUUCCGUUCAACAGGGAAACAAUAGAUCAGUUCAAUUGAGUACGCAAUUUUUGGUAAUAAAAAUACUUUCCUGUAAAGUUUCAAUUGAAAGGGAAUAGAGGGACGAGCUAAUUUAUUUUUCUGUGUAAAUUUAGCACGUGACACCACUGCUACCCUGUCUUAGCGUAACGCGAGUCGAGGCGGACGUCGUCGCGGUAGCGACGACGGAUGCCGAGACGAGCACGUGACACCACUGCCACAACACCAUAUUGAGCAAAAAAAAUUAGAGGUUUAAAAAAUUAUCUAGAAUUUGAAAAAUGUUGAUGUUUUUCAUAAAAAUCACUAUUUUACAAUUUAUUCAAUUUUUUAAAUAAGUUUUUUCUUUGCUUUUUUUUUAAAAUUUGAAAUUUGUUCAUAGUAGAUCAAUUCAAUGAACAUUCCGUUCAACAGGGAAACAGUAGAUCAGUUCAAUUGAGUACGCAAUUUUUGGUAAUAAAAAUACUUUCCUGUAAAGUUUCAAUUGAAAGGGAAUAGAGGGACGGGCUAAUUUAUUUUUCUGUGUAAAUUUAGCUAUUCAUUUUGGUUGAAAGUGCUAGUUCAUUUUGGUUGAAAGUGGAAUUUCCCACCCAUAAAUAUCCCUGAAAAACCACUGGCCCAGAAAGGGAAUGGGCCGGGAAUACAGGCCUAAAGGAAUCAAUGAGUGUAAAGGAAUAGGGGCCAGGGACGGUUCUGGCCCAACGUUGGACCAAACUCGCGAAAAGGGAAUAGGCUGCGAUCGGGAUCGAUCGAAAAAAGGGAAUAGGCUGCGAUCGGGAGGCGGCUGGAAUUGUCGUUACGCUGUCCGAUCCAGCCGGUCGGCCCGAGUUGGUGUUGUGGAUCUGAUUACAUGCGGGAGCGUGCCAAAGGCAGCACCAUGUAUGGAUUCAAGGGAGCGUGUCAUGAAGGGAAGUACGUCCUGCUUAUAGCUUAUUUCGUGUACCCCUACAGAAGCACACUUAUUGAAAUUUCAGUACUGAAUAUAGACUUUGGUUAUCACCAUUUUCAAAUAGGAAGUGGAUCAUCAAUAGGGAUUUUGCUUAGGUACUUCCAUGAAUUAACAGAUGAUAGUUUUUUCCUCUUGAAGUAUCCUUGUGUGUAUAGGAAAUUUGUGACCGUAAGCAUGACAAAUAUAUGAUGUAUACAUACAGUUUUCUAGGUAACCUGAAUUACUAUUCUUGUCCUUUUCCAGCACAAGAGCUCUACCCCAGCACCGCUUCUCCAUCUCUGGUCGUUCCCUUGGCUUCCUCCAUGGCGGCUGAGAAGAUGGGCCACCACUGAAGCCACUUUUGGUAAUCGCUAAACUGUACCUGUGAGAUUAACGAGGUCGCAGCUGAGGCUGUCCGUCGUCGUGCCAGGCUGCCAACUCAUGGCCAAUUUGCACCAGCACUAAUAGGACUCCAGCGACCUGGGAUGUAAUCCAUCUGGAAAUGAGAUGGUGGAGAAUAAUUUGCUCAUGCUCCAUGGAUGCGACGCAUGUAUUGGGGCUAACCUGCCUGGAAGUGAGAUGCAUCUGGAUAUACAUGAUUUAAGUGCUAUACAGAACAGAAUUGAUUUGGGGCUACUGGUCUUUGGUAAGCACCUAUUUUUAGAUGAUGCAUUUGAUUAUUCUGGCAUUCCAUUUUAUGCGCAUCAGAUAAAAUCUGUUUUUCUUUAUCACAGUUUUGUUUGAUGUGGGUUUAUUUGCAUAAUAUUUACUAAAGAAAAUGGUUUGAGGUGAAGAGCCGAAGGCCUGAAGCCAAAUGUUCCUAAUUAGGACGAUGACCUUCAGGAAACAAGGCCAACGCUAUGUGUGCCUGCAAGAUUGAAGAUCCUAGAUAUUUUUAGUUUUCUCCAUGAUCCUACACCAUUGUAUCACUUUAUGCAGAACCCUUUAUCAUUCAUUUUUAUGUUCAAAAUAUGGUUGUCAUAGAUGGUAUUACAGGGAUUUUUUUUCGAAAAGGGGUUUACCCCAGCCUCUGCAUCAGAACGAUGCAUACGGCUCAUAUUACUAAAAGCAUAAU
This 5258-nucleotide long non-coding RNA is filed under the name Triticum aestivum (bread wheat). Its description in RNAcentral is "long non-coding RNA (TAES_LNC006481)". The record is from RNAcentral. Lineage: Eukaryota; Viridiplantae; Streptophyta; Magnoliopsida; Poales; Poaceae.